Molecule: long non-coding RNA, 1661 nt
Filed under: Solanum tuberosum (potato)
Lineage: Eukaryota; Viridiplantae; Streptophyta; Magnoliopsida; Solanales; Solanaceae
Description: long non-coding RNA (STUB_LNC005351)
Source: RNAcentral
UUGUUGUCACUUUUUUCACAUUUUGAAUGAAUUGUUUCUUUUAUUUUUAUGUAUGGUUAAUAACCGAAUAACCAAACCAAAACCGAAAACAACCAAACCGAUAAAUGUAUAUUAUAUUUGGUUUGGUUUGGUUUUGAUAAUUUUAAAACCGAUUAAGUUGGUUUGGUUUUGGUUUUGACCAAUAACUGACCCAAACCAACCCGUGAACACCCCUACUUCUUACCCUUGUGGUGUGGAGGAUAGAGGUUGUUUUUGACGAACCCUCGGCUCAAAAGAGAAGUUACUCAAAGCAUCAUUGCAAGAAAAUAAGACAACAAAAUAUCAGGAUACCAAGAAAAGGAAGCAACCGAGAGUAAAACACAUUGAAGAAUAAGAAACUACGUGAUUACAGAAUUCUACUACUAAUAAGCUGAGAAGAGAUGGAGCUAGCCCCUUUAUCUCCCAUGUAAAGUGGGACAAUGCUCGAUUACCUACUACACCUUCUUCCCUAAUCCCCACCCUUUUAUUAUAUCAUCUUUAAUUUGUUGAGAAAGAGAAAUGAAAUGAGGAUGACCCCCACCCCUAGGUGAGUUACCUAAUUCUCAAUAAGAAUCUUAAGUAUUUAGUAGACAGAAAAUAGAUACUCAGAAAGUCAGAUCCUAGACAAAACUAAUUUUAAUUCACACAAAGGAUGAUAAAACAUAGCACAAUGUGGAACAUACCUUGUUUAAAAAGUCAAAUCCUCAUUUCACUAUUAUUGUUAUUCAGCAAAGAAGGUUAAGAGUACACAAUUCCAUCGGGCAACAACAACCAUCACCUUACUCCUAUCUUUGUGAGGUAGAAGAGGUUGUUUCCGAUAGACCCUCGGUUCAAAAGGGAAGUAUCUGAAGCAGGAAAAUAUAUAUAAUUCAUUAACAUAAAAAAGAGUGAAAAUUUAAUGUGUCGAGCCAGGAUCAUUACGGUAGAAGGAAAUUUCUAUAUGGCUGUUCUUCGUUAGCUUGAGGCACCAGCAGUAUGUAAUACAGUAAAACAUAUAGUAAAGAAAUUGAAAUAACAGAUAUUUAGAACAAGUAAAUAAAUACAGAGAGCCUAUGAUUUUAUUUACUCAGCAUCCAUGAUCAUAUAAAACGCUUCCUUAAUACAGUGAUAUGUAUCAAGAAAGUUUUAAGUUAAGAGAUAUGGCAGAAUGUAUCUAAAGGAGAUGAAAUCUGUAUGUCUUGUGAUUUGUGACAGUAUGGAUCGUAUGAAGCAUGAGGAGUCUAAUGUUCGAUCAUGAGUUUUGUUUGUAUGGGCGAAUUUCCUAUUUGUGGAAUCCAAUCUUAGUGAGGUCUCUAUUGAGGAAUUGUGGGUGUUAUAUGACCGUUGUCAUGGCUGGUUAUGCAACCAAAAUACAACGGAGGUGGUUGAGGAGUCCGUGGGGAUUCUAUCCCCACAAUCCAGUCCUGGGGUUCAGUUGGAUGUUAUCAUGGGCUAGACACUUAGAAGAGGUGGCCCACGUGCUGUUUCGUAGGAAGCCCAGAAUGAUUGUGUGGAUCAUGGAGUUUGGUCAUUUGUUACGUACGUAAUGGAUUGUUCAUUUUGUGAGACGGUUGUCAGGGGAUAGACCAUAUGAGGAGUCAGAGACGGGCUCUUAACCUUGUAGCAGAAGGGUCUACAAGGGGCUUUUAGUAUGACACAUGUCA